This 893-nucleotide long non-coding RNA is filed under the name Zostera marina. Its description in RNAcentral is "long non-coding RNA (ZMAR_LNC005672)". Lineage: Eukaryota; Viridiplantae; Streptophyta; Magnoliopsida; Alismatales; Zosteraceae. The record is from RNAcentral.
UCUUCGUUAGUUGUAUUUUCAUGUAAGUCGUAUUUCCUUAUGUAACUUUUCUUUGUUAGUAAACAAGUUGACAAACAGUGAGAUAAGUUUUCAUAGACACACAGUCUGAUUUGGAUGUUGGAAAGUGAGUCACAUUAUAGUCAAAUGAAUUCAAUCCAAUAUAUAUAAGGUAAUAAAUAUUAAAUACUCACUACAGUUUUGUAAUUAGCUGAAUAGAAAAUUUUGGAUUAACAAGCAUUUAGAUAGUGAGAUAAAAAAUUGUCAAAGUGUACCUGUUUUGAGGGAUCUCGGCACCUUCAAAGCUUGAAACCUUCUCAUGGCCGAUCUAAACGCAUCUCCCAUCCUUCUCUUUCUCCGUUUUCUUCUCCCACUUCUUCACGCUACAGGAUUAGAGAAUGGGGUUCCAGAGGGAUGCAAUAGGCCCCAGAUGGCUUCAAUGUUCUGUCAAGAAUUAUGAUGUGGAGGCAUGGCAGCUAUCAUGACUUUGAAGGAUGUUAGUGGAUAUCCGUCUCAGAUCAAACCUAUCUCAGAUCAGAAUGAAAUCUAAAGGGAUAAAGAAAAAAAGUUAGAGUACCAAACCUGCAGUGAGUGAGCAAUUAAAAAACUUUCCGUCGAGAGUUUCUGGUAAGAGGGAAAACGAGAACUUAUUUGGGGCACUGUCUCCGUCGAGAGUUUGGGGAUUUCCGUCGAGAGUGAAAGGAGGGUUUGGGGAGUUUUUUGUGGUGAAAGGAGGGUUGAGGGUUUGGGGAUUUCCUUCGAGAGUGAGAAUGAGAUUUAAUUACAAGGAGAGUUGAAACUUGAAAGAAGGGUUUGGGUGUUAUUAAAAGGUUUUAUUAAUUUUAGGGAUUGGGUUUUAGGGAUAAACUUAUUGAUUUGGGUAUUUUUAUUCUAAU